CCUUCACAUGACCUUGGAAAGAAUGAGGAAAAUAAAUGACUCCAUAGAAGACAUGGACAACUAAAUAACCAACAGAUGUAGAAAAAUGAAAAACACAACUGUCCCUGAAUUUAUCUUGAGAGACUGUGAAUAACAUAAAUUCUGGAGCAUCCAGCAGAUUGUUUCAGCAAUUGACUGGAAAGAAGAGGGGAGCAUGUUGUCAGUCCAGAUGCUGAAGAAUUAAUUUUGUGUUCUGGUGUCUCAGACAAUGGGAAGAUUUCCAUUACAAGUAGAAGAGAAGAGAUGCCCUAAGGUGCUUGAAACAUCUACACACGUGGUUAGCAGAUACAACACAGGUCUUGUAAGAGAUGCACAUAUUUUUCGAACUGGAACUGGAAAGAACAUGGAUUAUCCUACAGUGCUUCAACUGGCUCCAGAUUCCUGUGCUUAGGUACUUGUAUAAUAAACUAUAUUAAA
This is a long non-coding RNA of Gallus gallus (chicken), 456 nucleotides long. The record is from Ensembl. Lineage: Eukaryota; Metazoa; Chordata; Aves; Galliformes; Phasianidae.